AGCUCCAAUAGCGUAUAUUAAAGUUGUUGCAGUUAAAAAGCUCGUAGUUGGAUUUCUGGCUGGGCAUGUGGGUCCGCUCUUUGAGUUGGCACCAUACAUGUCUGGCCAUCCUUUGGGAGAGCCACAGUGGCAUUAAGUUGUUGGUGUGGGGAUCUCAAUCCUUUACUGUGAAGAAAUUAGAGUGUUCAAAGCUGUGAAGAAAUUAGAGUGUUCAAAGCAGGCUUACGCCGUUGAAUAUAUUAGCAUGGAAUAAUGACAUAGGACUUUUGUACUAUUUUGUUGGUUUGCGAGCAAAAGUAAUGAUUAACAGGGACAGUUGGGGGUAUUUGUAUUCCAUUGUCAGAGGUGAAAUUCUUGGAUUUUUGGAAGACAAACUACUGCGAAAGCAUUUACCAAAGAUGUUUUCA
RNAcentral lists this ribosomal RNA (407 nucleotides) under uncultured eukaryote. RNAcentral describes it as "SSU rRNA". It matches the Rfam family "Eukaryotic small subunit ribosomal RNA", at positions 587 to 972 of the family's 1831-position model. The record is from RNAcentral.